UAGGGAAUCUUCGGCAAUGGACGAAAGUCUGACCGAGCAACGCCGCGUGAGUGAAGAAGGUUUUCGGAUCGUAAAACUCUGAUGUUAGAGAAGAACAAGGACGUUAGUAACUGAACGUCCCCUGACGGUAUCUAACCAGAAAGCCACGGCUAACUACGUGCCAGCAGCCGCGGUAAUACGUAGGUGGCAAGCGUUGUCCGGAUUUAUUGGGCGUAAAGCGAGCGCAGGCGGUUUCUUAAGUCUGAUGUGAAAGCCCCCGGCUCAACCGGGGAGGGUCAUUGGAAACUGGGAGACUUGAGUGCAGAAGAGGAGAGUGGAAUUCCAUGUGUAGCGGUGAAAUGCGUAGAUAUAUGGAGGAACACCAGUGGCGAAGGCGGCUCUCUGGUCUGUAACUGACGCUGAGGCUCGAAAGCGUGGGGAGCAAACAGG
This 429-nucleotide ribosomal RNA is filed under the name Gemmatimonadota bacterium. RNAcentral describes it as "Gemmatimonadetes bacterium partial 16S ribosomal RNA". It matches the Rfam family "Bacterial small subunit ribosomal RNA", at positions 355 to 776 of the family's 1533-position model. The record is from RNAcentral. Lineage: Bacteria; Pseudomonadati; Gemmatimonadota.